This 245-nucleotide unclassified non-coding RNA is filed under the name uncultured Mycena. RNAcentral describes it as "sequence contains ITS1". Lineage: Eukaryota; Fungi; Basidiomycota; Agaricomycetes; Agaricales; Tricholomataceae. The record is from RNAcentral.
ACGAAGUUCAUUGGGAGUUGAGCUGACUCUUCGGAGUAUGUGCUUGCUUUCAACUCUUCUCUUUAACCACCUGUGCACCUUUGUAGUCUAUUGAUACCUCUCAAAGAGUCGAAAGACGAUUUGGAUAGAGGACUUGCAGUGUAAAUACUCGCUUGUCUUCAAUUUCAAUAGACUAUGUCUUAUAAACUCAAUAUAAAAAACCAGAAUGUCUUUUGUAGUGUCUUCAUAUGACCUAUAAACUUAUA